UUGGUCAAUUAUUACUUAGAAUGACUGAGCUUUUCUUGAGUUUGACGAUCUAUUCACAUCUAUCUUCGGUUGGGUUGGUGUAUGGGCAGUGUCCUUGAUCAUCUUGAGGACCAGUUGAAGAGCUGAAAUUUUGAUAAACUCCUGCUGCGUAGGCACUUUGUUGAAUGUCAUUCCUCAGUUGAUUCCCUUGGAGUGGAAAGAUGACAAUUCAGCUUUUUCUGUGUGGCUAAGUUGAUGAAUUGCGGAUUCCACGCUUGAAAUUGGAUAAGCUCCCCCUUCUUGGAUUUGGUUCCUUUGAUGUCUUCACUCUAUAUGUGUACAUGGAUGAAUCCUUAAUCAAUUAAUAUUUUGGCCAUGCUAUGAUAGGGUGUGUGAGAACAAGCUCGACUUAUGCUUUGAGGGUUUGAAGUUUGACAAAUGGAUGGCCUCUCUGUUGGACAUAGAUGCAAAAGGAGAGUACUAAGUUUGCUUAGUUGCAAUAAGAUAUUUGUAUGGGUUUUUGCUUCGCCGAUAUUCUCCACUGCUAUAAUACUUCCUUCUGGCACCGUCAUUGUUGGGGACAGUUUACAAGUGAGGGUUUUUGUAUGUGAGAUGGGCUGUUUUUAGUUUGUAGUGUGCCACCUUGAGGGCCUAAAUUGUGAAUAUUGUAGGUUCUCGUCGAUCCAUGGGACAAUGAAGGCUUUUCUGCACAGACCCAAGUGAUACUCCAUUGCAAACUGUUAGCAUCUCAUUCUGAAAAGAUGAACCGUUCUGUGCUUUUGCCUGUUUGCAUGAUUGGCAUAUGUGAUCAGGCCUCACAUGGGGAUGUUGACCGGACAGCCAUAUGGACACAACUUCCUUGGCAUUGCUUGCGCUCGGACUGGUUCUCUCCUUUCUGCUGAUUCUCUCAUUUCUUAUUCAUCACAAAGUUGUCGUUUCAUGUAUGCUGUCAGCAGACAUGGCUGGUCAAGCUGGGAGGAGCAGACACUUGGUUCUUGGUUGCCAUGUUUGUCAAAUUUUGUAGUUAUUUUUUUUUUUAAAUCGGUGAAGCUGAAGGGGCAGACAACAAUCCUGUAGUGAAUAAGCUUUGGUUUGAGUUUUUAACAUAUCUAGCGAGGAUAGAACCCUUCUGAUCUCUUAUGAUACCCUAAUGUACAACGGGUGAACUUCUACUUCAUAUAUAUGAUCUAAAUUUAAUAACGCACAGCUGUUUAGGGCUAUGAACUUAUACAUGUCCAAUUGCAUCAUGAUCCUUUGCGAAUGAUGAUCUGUCGACCAGAUAUUUACUGUAUCUCUUUCUCAUCCGCUCUACAAGGGUUGUUCAAAGUCAUCUUGCUUGUAAUUGGAGAUACUUGACGGUUGCCUCAUGAUCAGGUUUAUUUGCUUUGGUAUUUUCUUUGAGGGAUGAUUUUGAAGCAUCUGGUUGGGUCUAUGUCCAGAACAAUGUCGNNNNNNNNNNNNNNNNNNNNNNNNNNNNNNNNNNNNNNNNNNNNNNNNNNNNNNNNNNNNNNNNNNNNNNNNNNNNNNNNNNNNNNNNNNNNNNNNNNNNNNNNNNNNNNNNNNNNNNNNNNNNNNNNNNNNNNNNNNNNNNNNNNNNNNNNNNNNNNNNNNNNNNNNNNNNNNGAAUCCAAGUUCUUGAGUUGGGAAGGCAGGAGGUUAUUAUUUAAUGCAAUUAUGUUUAGUUGAGAUACUGAAUUGUUGUUUUCCUUUUUAGAUCGGAGUGAUGAUCGGGUUCUGGAUCUUUCUACAGGGAUUGUCUGAUUCUUUUAUUUUCAAGGAUUAGAGGAGAUGCGAUGAACAUAGAGUUCUCUCAUGUUGUGAGUUGGAGUCCUUUUGUUGCAGAUCAUUCUGAAUUCGACCUGGUUUGUGUUGUAGUGUAUUUGACUUAGCAAGCUUUUGCUUUUUGCUUCUCCUGGGGUACUUUUCAUAUAAGUAGUUUAUUUUGGGUUCCAGUUCAAGUAUCUCUCUUUGAUGAUGUCGUACUCUCUAUCUUCGUCUACAAACCUCACUGGAUAAAUUUACAAUUACUACAGUUGAGUCUUGUGUCCAAGGCUAAGUCUCGUUGUUGCUUAGGUUGGUCAUAUGUGGCUACUUUUUGCUUCUUCUGGGGGUAUUUUUGGUAUAAUUGGUUAAUUUUGGGUGCCAGUUCAAGUCUCUCUUUUUGAUAAUAUCGUCCUCUCAUCUUUUUCUGUGAACUUCACUGGAUAAAACUCCUAUUGAGUCCUGUUUCUAGGCUAAUUCUAGUUGUUGCUUUGCUGGUGGCACACAUGGAUGGCAGUUUGGCUUGUCAGAUGCUUCUAGAUUAUGCUCGAGAGAUGAGAAACUGAUUGCAGAUAUUGACCAACAUCAUGGCAGAUUAUUCAUUUCUACUUUCAAUUGGUUUGUUGCAGUCCGUAGAAGCUCUCUCUUGGUGAUUCUCUUUAUAUUGAAGUUCCAGUUGAUACUACUUGCCUGACAAAUUAGUUUUAUAUUGCUUGUGUGUUGGAAUCAAAAGUUACUUGGCCACGAGCUCGCACAAUCCCUCUACAUUGAUUCACCCCCCAUUCUGUCCAAAACUCUUACUCUAUUAUCUUCGUUUUCUGGGCAUUCUCCGUCGGCCCUUCUUCAUUUUUGUUUUCCGUUUCUUGAUUGAUUGAUUGUUGAUGGGGCAAAUUGCUUUCUUUGUGUUGAUCUUGUGAAGCAUCAUCUGGUUGCAGAGGUCCACCCCUAUAUUGCGGAGAUUCUUGAAGGUUUCGCUUGCCCUACAAUCUUUAUUGGUGUCUGGCAAUAUCAUCUUCUUUCAGAGAGAAGAAGUAGCGAUUAUCCUGAUUGAGCGUUCUCCAUCGGCCUUUCUCCUUUUUGGUUUCUGUUUCUUGAUUGAUUGUUGAUCGGGGAUUGAUUGCUUUCUCGGUCUGAUUUUGUGAAGCAUUUGGUUGCAGAAGACUCAAUGUUGCGGAGAUUUUUGAGGGUUUGGCUCAGCCUACGAUGCCUAUUUGGUUAUUGGAUUCUUUGGUUUAUGCCUCGUCCCUUCAAUCGCUUAGUGAUUUAUUGACCGAUCGAUUGAACUUUGGGUUGUUGUUUUGACCAGCUCAUUCUGGAUUCUCGUUGUACGGUGAAUUGGCAGUGUGGUUUCUUUCUUUCAUAUGAGGAUGCUGUCGCAGCAAGUGUUUGGUUUAGUGCUCCUUUUCUGACCAGUUGAUCUUUCUCUCACGAGCUGUUUCUGGAUUCUGUUAUUUGGUGAAUCCGCAGUGGCUUCUUUCCCCUUAGAGCGAAACUGCUCUUUCUCCUUUUUGGUUUCCGUUUCUUGAUUCAUUGUUAUCUCGGUCUUGAUUUUGUGAGGCGUUAUCUGGUUGCAGAGACCCACCCCUGUUGCGGAGAUUCUUGAGGGUUUCGCGCUUGGCCUACGAUGCCUAUUGGUUAUCGGAAUUAUUCAGUUUACCUCUUGUCCUUUGGUUGCUUAGUGAUUCAUCGACCGAUCGAUUGAACUUUGCGCUGUUGUUUUGACCAGAUCAUUCUGGAUUCUUGUUGUUCGGUGAAUUGGGAGUGAGGCUUCUUUCCUCUUGGAUCAUAUUUCUUGACGUCAGAGGAUGUCCUCAUGGGAAGUGCUUGGUUUAACUCCUCCUUCGACCCUUUAUUGAUACAAUAACCUAUCGAUCUUUCUGUUAUUUGGUGAAUUUGCAGUUGGCUUCUUUCCCCCUCAGGGCGAAAUUGCUUGUCUGAGGAUGUCAAGGACGAUGAAUACUAAAACACGGGUGUUUCGUUUUUUUGGAGCAUUGAUGAUCAUUUUGCUUUCAUCUUUUUGGUUGAGAUGAUGAAAGUAGUCUUUCAUGCGAUAGGCUGAAAUUUGGUGGUCUUGAUUGGAAUUUGUUCUUCGGUUUUCUAUUUUGGGGGGUUGAUUAUCAUCUAGUCCUGAUCCUCUCACAGGUCGGAGUUUUGCAAGACUGGACAAGUGGUGAUCUGGUGCGAGCUGACGAUUGUCUGAAAAUGGAAAUGCUCUGUCUCUCUAGGCAGUUAUUGGUUUGAACGAAAUUUGUUCUCCACUCCCAUAAUUUUGCGAUUAAUGCCAAACCCGAUUCUCAUUCCUUCGGAGGUCUGUUUUGUCGAUGUAUGAUCUGUCAUGGUUCUUUCUUUGCAAGGUGUAAGCACCACAACAGAUCACUAUCCAAUCCAGAUCCGCUUGCUAAUGUCUCCGUCCUAGAAAUGAUCCCUACCUUCUGUUCUCAUCCUUCAAUCUCAUCGGGAGACGUCGUUAUGGGAAGUGUUUGGUUUAGCUCCUCCUCUGAUCCUUUAUCAAACCCACUUUCGGUACAAUUGUUUCACAAGCUGCUUCUGGAUUUUUGUUAUUUGGUGAAUCUGCAGUGGCUUCUUUUCCCCAUGGAGCGAAACUGUUUGUCUUGGGAUGUCGAGGACGAUGAAUACGACGAACACGGUCAGCUUGUUUCAUAUAACACAGAUGUUUGGGCUUUUUGGAGGACUGAUGAUCCUUUUGCUGCUGUCUUUUUUUCUUGGUUGAGAUGAUGAACUAGUAGUCUUUCAGGCGAUAGGCUGAAAUCUACUGGUCUUGAUUGGAAUUUUGUUCUUCGGUUUUUUUUUUUUAAUCUUUGGGGUUUGAUUAUUGUGUAGUCCUGAUCCUCUCACAGGUCGGAGUUUUGCUAGCUCGACUAAGUGGUGAUCUACCGCGAGCUGAUGAUUGUCUGAAAUUUGAUCAACUCCAUCGUCUCUUGAGGCAGUUAUCGGUUUGAAUGAAAUUUGUUCUCCAGUCCCAUAAUUUUCCAAUUAAUGCAAAACCUGAUUCUCAUUCCUUCAGAGGUCAGUGUUUUAUUGUUGUAUGACCUGAGAUGGUUCUUUGCAAGGUGUACGCGCCACAAGAGAUCACUAUAGGGAUCCGCUUGCUGGGGUAUCCUUCCCAGAAAUAGUCCCUUCCUCAUGUUCUCAUCAUGCAUCUACGAUUGUGCAUGCAUUUCUCAAUCAGCUGACACACUUACUCCUCAGAGGAGACAUCAUUCCUGAAAAUGCACUCCUGGUCUUUCUUCUUUUCUUUUUAUUUCUUGAUUGAUUUUAAAACGGCUUGAUUCUGUUUACGCUAUGUUAUUUUCUGAAGGUGACCCCUGGCCUCUCUCAGACUCUGCCAUGUUGUGGGCAUUGUUAGGGUUAUUGCUCGUCUGACCGUUGGUUGAUUUAUCAUUGAUUGAUUUGUCCAUUGUAUCUUGAGCUGAUUCUGGCAUUAACUAUUCCUUGAAUUGGCAGUGGUUUCUUUCUUCUCGGAGCAAUCAUUUUCUCUGAGGAUGGUGUCUGAGAGGACAAUGAAUAUGAUGCAGCUGGUUAGUAGGUUACAUAGAAUAUGACAUCUGGGCUUUUUGGUCGAUUAAUGAUCUAUCUUGCACUGUUUGUGGUUGAGUCGAUCAUCUAAAGAAGCCUUUUGUCUUCAGGACAAAUGAUGGGCUGAAAUUUUGACAACCUUCUAGGCUUCUUCUACAGAUUGAAAGUUUUACUGGUUUUGACAGUUGGUGAUCUGUUGCGUUUUCUGUGGGGCUGAGUUGAUAAUUGUUCGAAAUUGUAUGAGCUCCUGCUUCCCGGAUUUUGGGCAGUUAUUGGUUUGAAUGGAACUUGUCCUUUACUUCUGUUAUUUCUUUGUUAAUCCGAAAGAUUAGAUCUAGUUCUAUUCCCUUUGCAGAUCAGAUUUUGGUCGAGGCAACACUUUAUGUGGCCAAGUUCGAUAUGAAGUGUCUAUGAUCUGUGAUGUUCUUUCUUGCUGCAUAAACAUCAAUUUCUAAUUUGUCUUCCACUUAUGUUAUCGUCUAGUUAAGGUGGUUAUCAUCUAGUUGAGGUGGAACGAUCAGUUGUUCUCUUUUCUUCACAGGUCAUAGUUUGGUCAAGGCAAUACCUUACCUCGUCAAUUUCGAGAUGGUGUGUCUGUGAUCAGUGAUGGUUCUUUCUUGCUGCAUAAGAAUUAAUUCAUAGGACAGGCUCUCCUUUCAGAGUUCUUUCUUGUCUGAGAAGGUCUACACAAUUGGUUUCACUUCAGUGCAAAGUGGGUAGCAUCUUAUUUUGAAAUGACGUACUUCAAAUAUCUAUCGCAAUUUGCAUUCUUAAUCUUUCUUAUAUUGUUUCUAUUUUGUAAUGGAAGAUGAUGGAUGAUACCAGUUGUUCUUUGGCAGAUUAGAGACUAUUUUAUCUUUGGGAUUGGAUUGGAAACUUUUGAUUAGUAUGUCUUACCUUUUUCUUUGAUGGAAACUAUCCUGCAUUUUAUUUAUUAUGGACUUUUUCCUUUCAACGUACUUUGUUACACAUUCAUUUCGAAAUACGUUUCUUGCAUAUGCAUUUGUUUGGACUUGGUGUGUAUGUCUGCUUGAAUUUUGUGUCAAUAAAAUGUUAAAUUUGGUUUAUUUGAAGAAUUUUUUGUCAGGUUCCUUUUGUGUUUAUAUUUUAUGAGAUUGAUGUUGUCUGCAUGGUAAUUUCCUACGCUGAGAUGUUAUUUUUGUGUGACAUAUUGCCUCUUUUUUCCCUAUGUUAUUUGGAGCUUGCAGGUUAGGUUCUUUCCCAAAAAAUAUUUAGUUUUUACAUUGUUUUAUGUGGUAGCAUUUGCCUUUUGCCAAAAUUUUACCAAAAGUAUAGCAUGGAAUGUUUUCACUUAUAAAGCAAUGUUCUCGGAUGGUUCAUCAAUAGAUUGAUCCGUUAAAAUUGUUUAUCAAAAUGAUUAUGGAUUUUGGUGGAUUGGCAGUUGCAUCUUUCCUCUUGUAGCGAUCUCUUCAUCCGAGCAUGUCGUCUAAGAAUGACAAAUACAUAGAAGCUGGUGAGUUAACAUAGAAGAAGGUGAUUGGGCUUCUUGGAGGAGAGGUGAUCUAUUAUGCAGUCUUUGUUUUCUUGAGUUCUGAAGUAGUCUUCUCUGAUUGCAUCUUCAGGAUGAGCGAAUUUUGAGGAUUUAUAGGCAUCUUGUAGUUUUGAUUUAAGUUUGUCUUCAGUUAAUUGUCUUCAGUUCUAAUUCCUCUACUGGAAGCUUUGCCAUGUUGAGAAGUGGUGUGAUCUAUUGCCUUCUUCUGUAGGGUGAGUUGAUGAUUGUUUGAAAUUGGAUAAACAGCCAUUUUGUGGAUUCUAAGGAAUGGAAUAUAUGAUGAGGUUGGUCGAUUAUUACUUAGAAUGACUGAGCUUUUCUUGAGUUUGACGAUCUAUUCACAUCUAUCUUCGGUUGGGUUGGUGUAUGGGCAGUGUCCUCGAUCAUCUUGAGGACCAGAUGAAGAGCUGAAAUUUUGAUAAACUCCUGCUGCUUAGGCACUUUGUUGAAUGUCAUUCCUCAGUUGAUUUCCUUGGAGUUGAAAGAUGUGACAAUUCAGCUUUUUCUGUGUGGCUAAGUUGAUGAAUUGCGGAGUCCGCGCUUUGUUUGAAAUUGGAUAAGCUCCCCCUUCUUGGAUUUGGUUCCUUUGAUGUCUUCACUCUAUAUGUGUACAUGGAUGAAUUCUUAAUCAAUCAUAUUUUGGCCAUGCUAUGAUAGGGUGUGCGAGAACAAGCUCGACUUAUGCUUUGAGGGUUUGAAGUUUGACAAAAGAUCGUGGAUUGUCAUUGGAUGGCCUCUCUGUUGGACAUAGAUGCAAAAGGAGAGUACUAAGUUUGCUUAGUUGCAAU
Molecule: long non-coding RNA, 7578 nt
Filed under: Eucalyptus grandis
Lineage: Eukaryota; Viridiplantae; Streptophyta; Magnoliopsida; Myrtales; Myrtaceae
Description: long non-coding RNA (EGRA_LNC001501)
Source: RNAcentral